Monodelphis domestica (gray short-tailed opossum) is the source of this 71-nucleotide transfer RNA. It matches the Rfam family "tRNA". From Rfam's summary of the family: Transfer RNA (tRNA) molecules are approximately 80 nucleotides in length. Their secondary structure includes four short double-helical elements and three loops (D, anti-codon, and T loops). Lineage: Eukaryota; Metazoa; Chordata; Mammalia; Didelphimorphia; Didelphidae. The record is from Rfam.
GUUAAUGUAGCUUAAAUUUAAAGCAAAGCACUGAAAAUGCUUAGAUGGUCUGUGAUAUAGUCCCAUAAACA